UACGUAGGAUCCAAGCGUUAUCCGGAUUUAUUGGGUUUAAAGGGUGCGUAGGCGGUCUUGUAAGUCAGAGGUGAAAGACUGUAGCUUAACUAUAGUUAGCCUUUGAUACUGCUAGACUUGAGUACAGAUGAGGUAGGCGGAAUGUGUAGUGUAGCGGUGAAAUGCUUAGAUAUUACACAGAACACCGAUUGCGAAGGCAGCUUACUAAACUGAAACUGACGCUGAGGCACGAAAGCGUGGGGAGCAAACAGG
Molecule: ribosomal RNA, 252 nt
Filed under: uncultured bacterium
Lineage: Bacteria
Description: partial 16S ribosomal RNA
Rfam family: Bacterial small subunit ribosomal RNA
Source: RNAcentral